GACGAACGCUGGCGGCGUGCUUAACACAUGCAAGUCGAACGGAAAGGCCUGCUUUCCCUUGUGGAUUGCGGGUACUCGAGUGGCGAACGGGUGAGUAACACGUGAGUGAUCUGCCCCCAACUUGGGUAUAAGCCUGGGAAACUGGGUCUAAUUCCCGAUAGGACUGCAGGGUGGUGCCUGUGGUGGAAAACGAUUUUCUAGUGGUUGGGGAUGAGCUCGCGGCCUAUCAGCUUGUUGGUGGGGUAAUGGCCUACCAAGGCGGCGACGGGUAGCCGGCCUGAGAGGGUGGACGGCCACAUUGGGACUGAGAUACGGCCCAGACUCCUACGGGAGGCAGCAGUGGGGAAUAUUGCACGAUGGGCGGAAGCCUGAUGCAGCGACGCCGCGUGAGGGAUGACGGCCUUCGGGUUGUAAACUCCUUUCGACCGCGAGGAAGCCACCUGGUUGGAAGGGUGGUGACGGUAGUGGUAGAAGAAGCACCGGCUAACUACGUG
RNAcentral lists this ribosomal RNA (494 nucleotides) under uncultured bacterium. RNAcentral describes it as "partial 16S ribosomal RNA". It matches the Rfam family "Bacterial small subunit ribosomal RNA", at positions 28 to 507 of the family's 1533-position model. The record is from RNAcentral.